GAUGAACGCUGGCGGCGUGCCUAAUACAUGCAAGUCGAGCGAACGGACGAGAAGCUUGCUCCUCUGAUGUUAGCGGCGGACGGGUGAGUAACACGUGGAUAACCUACCUAUAAGACUGGGAUAACUUCGGGAAACCGGAGCUAAUACCGGAUAAUAUAUUGAACCGCAUGGUUCAAUAGUGAAAGACGGUCUUGCUGUCACUUAUAGAUGGAUCCGCGCUGCAUUAGCUAGUUGGUAAGGUAACGGCUUACCAAGGCAACGAUGCGUAGCCGACCUGAGAGGGUGAUCGGCCACACUGGAACUGAGACACGGUCCAGACUCCUACGGGAGGCAGCAGUAGGGAAUCUUCCGCAAUGGGCGAAAGCCUGACGGAGCAACGCCGCGUGAGUGAUGAAGGUCUUCGGAUCGUAAAACUCUGUUAUUAGGGAAGAACAUAUGUGUAAGUAACUAUGCACAUCUUGACGGUACCUAAUCAGAAAGCCACGGCUAACUACGUG
Molecule: ribosomal RNA, 497 nt
Filed under: uncultured bacterium
Lineage: Bacteria
Description: partial 16S ribosomal RNA
Rfam family: Bacterial small subunit ribosomal RNA
Source: RNAcentral